Molecule: ribosomal RNA, 336 nt
Filed under: uncultured bacterium
Lineage: Bacteria
Description: bacterial SSU rRNA
Rfam family: Bacterial small subunit ribosomal RNA
Source: RNAcentral
GACGAACGCUGGCGGCGUGCUUAACACAUGCAAGUCGAGCGGAAAGGCCCUUCGGGGUACUCGAGCGGCGAACGGGUGAGUAACACGUGAGUAACCCGCCCUUCACUUUGGGAUAACCCUCGGAAACGGGGGCGUAAUACCGGAUACGACACACCAGCGCAUGUUGUGUGUGUGGAAAGUUUUUACGGUUGGGGAGUGGGCGUCGCGGCCUAUCAGCUUGUUGGUGGGGUGGAUGGCCUACCAAGGCGACGACGGGUAGGCCGGCCUGAGAGGGCGACCGGCCACACUGGGACGUGGGACACGGCCCACGACUCCUACGGGAGGGCAGCAGUGGGG